Molecule: ribosomal RNA, 488 nt
Filed under: uncultured bacterium
Lineage: Bacteria
Description: partial 16S ribosomal RNA
Rfam family: Bacterial small subunit ribosomal RNA
Source: RNAcentral
GACGAACGCUGGCGGCGUGCUUAACACAUGCAAGUCGAACGGAAAGGCCCUGCUUUUGUGGCGUGCUCGAGUGGCGCACGGGUGAGUAACACGUGUGUAACAUGCCCUUGUAUUUGGGAUAACUUCUGGGAACUGCGGCUCAUACCGGAUAGGAGCUCCUGCUGCAUGGUGGGGGUUGGAGAGUUUCGGCGUUUGUGGCUGGACUCGAGGCGUAUUCGCUUGUUGGUGAGGUAAUGGAUUACCAAGGCUUUGACGGGUAGCCGACCUGAGAGGGUGAUCGGCCACACUGGAACUGAGACACGGUCCAGACUCCUACGGGAGGCAGCAGUAGGGAAUCUUCCGCAAUGGGCGAAAGCAUGACGGAGCAACGCCGCGUGAGUGAUGAAGGUCUUCGGAUCGUAAAACUCUGUUAUUAGGGAAGAACAACUGUGUAAGUAACUAUGCACGGCUUGACGGUACCUAAUCAGAAAGCCACGGCUAACUACGUG